CGCCGCGUGAGGGAUGACGGCCUUUCGGGUUGUAAACCUCUUUUAGCAAGGAAGAAGCGAAAGUGACGGUACUUGCAGAAAAAGCGCCGGCUAACUACGUGCCAGCAGCCGCGGUAAUACGUAGGGCGCAAGCGUUAUCCGGAAUUAUUGGGCGUAAAGAGCUCGUAGGCGGUUUGUCGCGUCUGCUGUGAAAACUGGAGGCUCAACCUCCAGCCUGCAGUGGGUACGGGCAGACUAGAGUGCGGUAGGGGAGAUUGGAAAUCCUGGUGUAGCGGUGGAAUGCGCAGAUAUCAGGAGGAACACCGAUGGCGAAGGCAGAUCUCUGGGCCGUAACUGACGCUGAGGAGCGAAAGGGUGGGGAGCAAACAGGCUUAGAUACCCUGGUAGUCCACCCCGUAAACGUUGGGAACUAGUUGUGGGGACCAUUCCACGGUUUCCGUGACGCAGCUAACGCAUUAAGUUCCCCGCCUGGGGAGUACGGCCGCAAGGCUAAAACUCAAAGGAAUUGACGGGGACCCGCACAAGCGGCGGAGCAUGCGGAUUAAUUCGAUGCAACGCGAAGAACCUUACCAAGGCUUGACAUAUACGAGAACGCUGCAGAAAUGUAGAACUCUUUGGA
This 619-nucleotide ribosomal RNA is filed under the name Microbacterium sp. Ri3Pt_4422. RNAcentral's name for it is "bacterial SSU rRNA". It matches the Rfam family "Bacterial small subunit ribosomal RNA", at positions 395 to 1022 of the family's 1533-position model. The record is from RNAcentral. Lineage: Bacteria; Bacillati; Actinomycetota; Actinomycetes; Micrococcales; Microbacteriaceae.